UACACAUGCAGUCGAGCGGUAGAGAGAAGCUUGCUUCUCUUGAGAGCGGCGGACGGGUGAGUAAUGCCUAGGAAUCUGCCUGGUAGUGGGGGAUAACGUUCGGAAACGGACGCUAAUACCGCAUACGUCCUACGGGAGAAAGCAGGGGACCUUCGGGCCUUGCGCUAUCAGAUGAGCCUAGGUCGGAUUAGCUAGUUGGUGAGGUAAUGGCUCACCAAGGCGACGAUCCGUAACUGGUCUGAGAGGAUGAUCAGUCACACUGGAACUGAGACACGGUCCAGACUCCUACGGGAGGCAGCAGUGGGGAAUAUUGGACAAUGGGCGAAAGCCUGAUCCAGCCAUGCCGCGUGUGUGAAGAAGGUCUUCGGAUUGUAAAGCACUUUAAGUUGGGAGGAAGGGCAGUAAAUUAAUACUUUGCUGUUUUGACGUUACCGACAGAAUAAGCACCGGCUAACUCUGUGCCAGCAGCCGCGGUAAUACAGAGGGUGCAAGCGUUAAUCGGAAUUACUGGGCGUAAAGCGCGCGUAGGUGGUUUGUUAAGUUGGAUGUGAAAGCCCCGGGCUCAACCUGGGAACUGCAUUCAAAACUGACGAGCUAGAGUAUGGUAGAGGGUGGUGGAAUUUCCUGUGUAGCGGUGAAAUGCGUAGAUAUAGGAAGGAACACCAGUGGCGAAGGCGACCACCUGG
Molecule: ribosomal RNA, 686 nt
Filed under: Pseudomonas sp. 13AAIII
Lineage: Bacteria; Pseudomonadati; Pseudomonadota; Gammaproteobacteria; Pseudomonadales; Pseudomonadaceae
Description: bacterial SSU rRNA
Rfam family: Bacterial small subunit ribosomal RNA
Source: RNAcentral